GACGAACGCUGGCGGCGUGCUUAACACAUGCAAGUCGAACGGAAAGGCCCUGCUUUUGUGGGGUGCUCGGGUGGCGAACGGGUGAGUAACACGUGAGUAACCUGCCCUUGAUUUUGGGAUAACUUCAGGAAACUGGGGCUAAUACCGGAUAGGAGCUCCUGCUGCAUGGUGGGGGUUGGAAAGUUUCGGCGGUUGGGGAUGGACUCGCGGCUUAUCAGCUUGUUGGUGGGGUAGUGGCUUACCAAGGCUUUGACGGGUAGCCGGCCUGAGAGGGUGACCGGCCACAUUGGGACUGAGAUACGGCCCAGACUCCUACGGGAGGCAGCAGUGGGGAAUAUUGCACAAUGGGCGGAAGCCUGAUGCAGCAACGCCGCGUGCGGGAUGACGGCCUUCGGGUUGUAAACCGCUUUCGCCUGUGACGAAGCGUGAGUGACGGUAAUGGGUAAAGAAGCACCGGCUAACUACGUG
RNAcentral lists this ribosomal RNA (468 nucleotides) under uncultured bacterium. RNAcentral describes it as "partial 16S ribosomal RNA". It matches the Rfam family "Bacterial small subunit ribosomal RNA", at positions 28 to 507 of the family's 1533-position model. The record is from RNAcentral.